Eutrema salsugineum is the source of this 443-nucleotide long non-coding RNA. RefSeq lists it as uncharacterized. The transcript has 3 exons. NCBI's taxonomy places the organism in Eukaryota, Viridiplantae, Streptophyta, Magnoliopsida, Brassicales, Brassicaceae. The record is from RefSeq and is a predicted model, not a curated record.
CUGCAGGAGAACUUUUUGAUGAAAUCUGCACUGCCAGCAGAUACAAUGAAACUGAGCAAAAAUGUGGUGUUACUGCCGGCUGGUUCACAUGCCUAUGUCUUAUAUUUGUGGGAAGACAUUUAGUUUGUCUAAUAAUUCCUCUUAUUCUGAAACCACGGGAAGAAAUAGUCUUUCAGCCUUAUGCGAAAAUAAACCGAAAUAGAGGAGGCCAUCUAUGUGCUAAGAUUCAAGAUACCUACUGUCCCCAUCCACAGAUUCAAGAUAUUAUAUGGGACUGCCUUUACUCACUGAGCCGUUUCAUACAUACUGGCCAUUUAACUGUUACGAGAAAAACUGUAAACGUCGGAUAAAACAAAGGAAAAGGGAUAUUGUAUUCCAAUGAUUAAACGAGUUCACAAAGGUUGAGAGAAUUAAUACGGAGUCUCUCACCUCCUCUUACACUU